This 373-nucleotide ribosomal RNA is filed under the name uncultured organism. Its description in RNAcentral is "partial 16S ribosomal RNA". It matches the Rfam family "Bacterial small subunit ribosomal RNA", at positions 527 to 896 of the family's 1533-position model. The record is from RNAcentral.
GUAGGUGGCAAGCGUUGUCCGGAAUUAUUGGGCGUAAAGCGCGCGCAGGCGGUUCUUUAAGUCUGAUGUGAAAGCCCACGGCUCAACCGUGGAGGGUCAUUGGAAACUGGAGAACUUGAGUACAGAAGAGGAAAGCGGAAUUCCACGUGUAGCGGUGAAAUGCGUAGAGAUGCGGAGGAACACCAGUGGCGAAGGCGGCUUUCUGGUCUGUAACUGACGCUGAGGCGCGAAAGCGUGGGGAGCAAACAGGGAUUAGAUACCCUGGUAGUCCACGCCGUAAACGAUGAGUGCUAAGUGUUAGGGGGUUUCCCGCCCCUUAGUGCUGCAGCUAACGCAUUAAGCACUCCGCCUGGGGAGUACGGCCGCAAGGCUG